CGGUACUGCCGGUCUUAAGCCGGAGAAGUGGGAUGACGUCAAGUCAGCAUGGCCUUUUAUGUCCUGGGCUACACACACGCUACAAUGGCCAACACAAUAGGUUGCUAAGCCGCGAGGUGGAGCCAAUCCUCAAAGUUGGCUCAGUUCAGAUUGCAGGCUGCAACCCGCCUGCAUGAAGAUGGAGUUGCUAGUAACCGCAGGUCAGCUAUACUGCGGUGAAUACGUUCCCGGGGCUU
Molecule: ribosomal RNA, 236 nt
Filed under: uncultured Leptolinea sp.
Lineage: Bacteria; Bacillati; Chloroflexota; Anaerolineae; Anaerolineales; Anaerolineaceae
Description: partial 16S ribosomal RNA
Rfam family: Bacterial small subunit ribosomal RNA
Source: RNAcentral